RNAcentral lists this ribosomal RNA (345 nucleotides) under Triticum aestivum (bread wheat). Its description in RNAcentral is "partial small subunit ribosomal RNA". The record is from RNAcentral. Lineage: Eukaryota; Viridiplantae; Streptophyta; Magnoliopsida; Poales; Poaceae.
AUGGAGCUGUCUAACAAAAGCAGACUUUAUGGUUUGAAGAUGACAUGUAUGCAAUGUGUGGUCUGCACUGAUGAGACGUUGGAGGGGCAAGUACUGCACUUGGUUCAGUGCAUAUACAAGAUGGUAGAAAAAAGGGGCACCAUUAUUGAUGGCAAGUCAAUUGCAGAGGACAUAAAGUUACUGAUUGCUGAACAAUUUCGUCGAAUGAAAAAGGCAGUUGCACAUGUUCCUGGAUUAGCUAUUGUAUUGGUAGGCGAUAGAAGGGACUCUCAAUCCCAUGUGGGAUUUAAACUGAAGGGUUGUGAGGAAGAUGGGAUAAAAUCUUUGUUGUCGGAGUUGCGUUAG